CAGUCGCCGCGGGAAUACAGAGGGUGCGAGCGUUAAUCGGAUUUACUGGGCGUAAAGCGUGCGUAGGCGGCUUCUUAAGUCGGAUGUGAAAUCCCUGAGCUUAACUUAGGAAUUGCAUUCGAUACUGGGAAGCUAGAGUAUGGGAGAGGAUGGUAGAAUUCCAGGUGUAGCGGUGAAAUGCGUAGAGAUCUGGAGGAAUACCGAUGGCGAAGGCAGCCAUCUAGCCUAAUACUGACGCUGAGGUACGAAAGCAUGGGGAGCAAACAGGAUUAGAUACCCCCGUAGUCCCUGUCUCUUAUAC
This 301-nucleotide ribosomal RNA is filed under the name uncultured bacterium. RNAcentral's name for it is "partial 16S ribosomal RNA". It matches the Rfam family "Bacterial small subunit ribosomal RNA", at positions 509 to 807 of the family's 1533-position model. The record is from RNAcentral.